This 1033-nucleotide long non-coding RNA is filed under the name Bemisia tabaci. RNAcentral describes it as "lncRNA ENSSSA3NGG011423". Lineage: Eukaryota; Metazoa; Arthropoda; Insecta; Hemiptera; Aleyrodidae. The record is from RNAcentral.
UAAGCUAGAAUGUCAACUUACACGAGGAAAACAUUCUUCUGAAUGACGUUUCAUUGAAAGUGAACGCGUUGACUUGGCUUUGAGAGAUCUUGUAACCUGUUUUACACAUUUCCAAAGCCGGAGCAAACAAUUCGGCCCAUUUCAGUUUCCCGAAACUACUCCAUGCUUCCCAAUAGCCAGCCAUCUCUCCGGGAACUCCACUUGCAAGAGCACCUAAAGAUGCAACAGAGGGUUGUUAUCACCAAAGCAACUAUCGGAAAUUGGACUGCAAAACUAAAUGUUAGUCAGGACCUUUAUCGUUGCCCAUUUCACAGAAUGACCACAUUUUGGCCCAGUUCAUGAGGAAAGGUAGCGCGGCGCGGAUUCGACUGAAGAUGAACCCACGUGUGGGUCCGAAAUGAUCAUCAUCUAAAACAAUCUAAAAAAUCAGGACCGAAGACUAAAAAGUAAGUUUACCUAUAAUUGUGAUCAUGUUUUGCAUGAGAGUGUAAAAAUAUAGAUAUGUACGACUCAAUGAGACAUCAUGUACACGCUAAUACAUUGUUUUAAAUAUCAUUGAAUUCAAAUCAUUAUUAUUUAUAUCCUUGUGUCUCUGCUAAGGUGCAAGGAUUUGAAAAUCUCCUCUGAUUCCUAAACUACAAGUGUCGUUUAAAAUAUUGAUAAGACCUAUCUAGAAAAUAUGGUCGGUGAAUCCUACAAUUUGUUAGAGGAAGCUUGUUUACAUACCACUUCUUGACUUUCCGGUUUGAUUUUCGAACAUAGUUUAUUAGAGAGGAGAGGAGCAACCCUCUUGCGUCGAGAAUAGAGAUAUUCCGUGUUUCUCUGCUGUAAAUGAGCAUUUGGAAACCCCUCCGAUUCCAGUGCUAUGCGCGUUGUAGAUCCCGUUGCAUAACAUUGAUGCAAUCGCAGCAUCUACAGCAGACCCGUUCUUCUCCAGGAUAUCCCUGAAAAAUUGAAAAAAAAAAUUAAUUAAUUAAUAAUUAAUCAAUAUCAAUGCAGAGAUGUUAUAUUUGCGACUUUCGAAGAAAAAAAA